ACUUAAAUAGCUUAUACAAAGAGUAUGAUAUUGAAGAUAUCAAGGAAACGACAUGUUUUUAGGUA
This 65-nucleotide transfer RNA is filed under the name Eboraphyllus middletoni. RNAcentral describes it as "tRNA-Phe". The record is from RNAcentral. Lineage: Eukaryota; Metazoa; Arthropoda; Insecta; Coleoptera; Cerambycidae.